Molecule: transfer RNA, 67 nt
Filed under: Marmota monax (woodchuck)
Lineage: Eukaryota; Metazoa; Chordata; Mammalia; Rodentia; Sciuridae
Description: tRNA.Ala
Source: RNAcentral
GGAUAUAGCUCAGUUGGUAGAGUGCUUGCAUAGCAUGCAUAAGGUCCUGGGUUCAAUCCCAGCACCA